This 133-nucleotide ribosomal RNA is filed under the name Salmonella enterica subsp. enterica serovar Anatum. RNAcentral's name for it is "partial 23S ribosomal RNA". It matches the Rfam family "Bacterial large subunit ribosomal RNA", at positions 2495 to 2632 of the family's 2925-position model. The record is from RNAcentral. Lineage: Bacteria; Pseudomonadati; Pseudomonadota; Gammaproteobacteria; Enterobacterales; Enterobacteriaceae.
AGAGUUCAUAUCGACGGCGGUGUUUGGCACCUCGAUGUCGGCUCAUCACAUCCUGGGGCUGAAGUAGGUCCCAAGGGUAUGGCUGUUCGCCAUUUAAAGUGGUACGCGAGCUGGGUUUAGAACGUCGCUGUUC